UCCUACGGGAGGCAGCAGUGGGGAAUUUUCCGCAAUGGGCGAAAGCCUGACGGAGCAACGCCGCGUGAGGGAUGAAGGCCUCUGGGCUGUAAACCUCUUUUCUCAAGGAAGAAGAUCUGACGGUACUUGAGGAAUAAGCCACGGCUAAUUCCGUGCCAGCAGCCGCGGUAAUACGGGAGUGGCAAGCGUUAUCCGGAAUUAUUGGGCGUAAAGCGUCCGUAGGCGGCUUUUCAAGUCUGCUGUUAAAACGUGGAGCUUAACUCCAUCAAGGCAGUGGAAACUGAUUGGCUUGAGUGUGGUAGGGGCAGAGGGAAUUCCCGGUGUAGCGGUGAAAUGCGUAGAUAUCGGGAAGAACACCAGUGGCGAAGGCGCUCUGCUGGGCCAUAACUGACGCUCAUGGACGAAAGCCAGGGGAGCGAAAGGGAUUAGAUACCCCUGUAGUCCUGGCCGUAAACGAUGAACACUAGGUGUCGGGGGAAUCGACCCCCUCGGUGUCGUAGCCAACGCGUUAAGUGUUCCGCCUGGGGAGUACACACGCAAGUGUGAAACUCAAAGGAAUUGACGG
This 565-nucleotide ribosomal RNA is filed under the name uncultured bacterium. Its description in RNAcentral is "bacterial SSU rRNA". It matches the Rfam family "Bacterial small subunit ribosomal RNA", at positions 337 to 916 of the family's 1533-position model. The record is from RNAcentral.